CAUUCCCAGGGCACAUCCCAUCGCUUCAAAAUGGGCCAGUCCAACCCAGUUUCCUGAACAAAAUUACCAAAGGGUAUUCGUAACUUGCUCUGUUUUUUGGUGCAGAAAACAGGGGCAAUCCGUGAGGUUGAGGGUGCUAUUUUCAGAUGUGUAGGGUGCUGCAAGGCGGGAUCGUCCGUUCCGGUUGAUGUCGAUAGCAGCCUCGUAGUCUAUGUAUAGCAAACCUGGUGAUUCUCGGCCACUUCGCACCGUUGGUGGAAGAGACAGUUGGACUUCCAACAUGUUGCAGAUCUUCGGUGAAGUCGAAGACUUUGUUUCACCGCUUGAUGUAUAAUAGAGGCGUUUCACAUCUAGACAACUCUUCAUACGUAUAAUAGCGGUGUUCCACAUCUGACUUUGUUUCACCGCUUGAUGUUUCAGAUCACCUCUCUCAUUUCACUUGGUGGAAAGAACUCCACAGUUUGUUGUUCAAGCUUAUAUGGUCGGGCCAAAGAAUGCGAAUCUUCAGGAGACAGGUCUAUUGAAGAUCAGCUAUUGUGAUGUUUAUUUACUAGGAACUCUUCAUGUUCUUAUUUAUGUUUUACUAUUUUAAGCUUUCCUAUUAUUAGCUUGUGUUGGAAGUUGUAUUUCUGUUUUUAAUGAAGUUUGUAAGUCUCAAUGUAAGCUUAUAUAAACGUGCUCAAUGGAAGAUGAAUAGCAGAACCAUAGAAUCAAUCCAUGAACAAUUGGG
Long non-coding RNA from Juglans regia (Persian walnut), 730 nucleotides. RefSeq lists it as uncharacterized. The transcript is spliced from 3 exons. Lineage: Eukaryota; Viridiplantae; Streptophyta; Magnoliopsida; Fagales; Juglandaceae. The record is from RefSeq and is a predicted model, not a curated record.